RNAcentral lists this unclassified non-coding RNA (219 nucleotides) under Microbotryomycetes sp. Its description in RNAcentral is "partial contains small subunit ribosomal RNA, internal transcribed spacer 1, and 5.8S ribosomal RNA". The stretch from base 1 to 46 matches the Rfam family "Eukaryotic small subunit ribosomal RNA", at positions 1786 to 1831 of the family's 1831-position model. Lineage: Eukaryota; Fungi; Basidiomycota; Microbotryomycetes. The record is from RNAcentral.
AAGUCGUAACAAGGUUUCCGUAGGUGAACCUGCGGAAGGAUCAUUAGUGAAAUUUAGGGCGUUCUCUCUGAGAAGCCUGACCUCCACUCUCCAACUCUGUGCACCUAAAUAAGCGAGAUUCACUUCUCUGCUUCCUUAAUUUUUUUAUACCCGAGUCAAAGAAUGUAACAAAACAACCAUAACAAAAAAAAACUUUCAACAACGGAUCUCUUGGCUCUC